This 253-nucleotide ribosomal RNA is filed under the name uncultured bacterium. Its description in RNAcentral is "partial 16S ribosomal RNA". It matches the Rfam family "Bacterial small subunit ribosomal RNA", at positions 524 to 776 of the family's 1533-position model. The record is from RNAcentral.
UACGGAGGGUGCAAGCAUUGAUCGGAAUUACUGGGCGUAAAGGGCGCGUAGGCGGCCGAGAAAGUCAGAUGUGAAAUACCGGGGCUCAACCUCGGGGCUGCAUUUGAAACUCCUCGGCUAGAGGAUGGUUAGGGAAAACGGAAUUCCACGUGUAGCGGUGAAAUGCGUAGAUAUGUGGAAGAACACCGGUGGUGAAGACGGUUUUCUGGACCAAACCUGACGCUGAGGCGCGAAAGCUAGGGGAGCAAACAGG